RNAcentral lists this unclassified non-coding RNA (334 nucleotides) under soil metagenome. RNAcentral's name for it is "partial contains 5.8S ribosomal RNA, internal transcribed spacer 2, and large subunit ribosomal RNA". The stretch from base 1 to 120 matches the Rfam family "5.8S ribosomal RNA", at positions 35 to 154 of the family's 154-position model. The record is from RNAcentral.
GAUGAAGAACGUAGCGAAAUGCGAUAAGUAAUGUGAAUUGCAGAAUUCAGUGAAUCAUCGAAUCUUUGAACGCACAUUGCGCCCGCCAGUAUUCUGGCGGGCAUGCCUGUUCGAGCGUCAUUUCAACCAUCAAGCCCCCGGCUUGUGUUGGGGACCUGCGGCUGCCGCAGGCCCUGAAAACCAGUGGCGGGCUCGCUAGUCACUCCGAGCGUAGUAAUACAUCUCGCUCAGGGCGUGCUGCGGGUUCCGGCCGUUAAAAAGCCUUAUUUACCCAAGGUUGACCUCGGAUCAGGUAGGAAGACCCGCUGAACUUAAGCAUAUCAAUAAGCGGAGA